RNAcentral lists this ribosomal RNA (332 nucleotides) under uncultured bacterium. RNAcentral describes it as "bacterial SSU rRNA". It matches the Rfam family "Bacterial small subunit ribosomal RNA", at positions 568 to 898 of the family's 1533-position model. The record is from RNAcentral.
CGUGUAGGCGGUUGGGCAAGUCAGAUGUGAAAGCCUUCCGCUCAACGGAAGAAGGGCAUUUGAAACUACCCGGCUGGAGUACGGGAGAGGAGAGUGGAAUUCCCGGUGUAGAGGUGAAAUUCGUAGAUAUCGGGAGGAACACCAGUGGCGAAGGCGGCUCUCUGGUCCGAUACUGACGCUGAGACGCGAAAGCGUGGGAGGCAAACAGGAUUAGAUACCCUGGUAGUCCACGCCGUAAACGAUGGGCACUAGGUGUAGGAGGUAUUGACCCCUUCUGUGCCGAAGCUAACGCAUUAAGUGCCCCGCCUGGGGAGUACGGCCGCAAGGCUAAA